RNAcentral lists this ribosomal RNA (515 nucleotides) under uncultured bacterium. RNAcentral's name for it is "partial 16S ribosomal RNA". It matches the Rfam family "Bacterial small subunit ribosomal RNA", at positions 28 to 523 of the family's 1533-position model. The record is from RNAcentral.
GACGAACGCUGGCGGCGUGCCUAAUACAUGCAAGUCGAGCGAAUGGAUUAAGAGCUUGCUCUUAUGAAGUUAGCGGCGGACGGGUGAGUAACACGUGGGUAACCUGCCCAUAAGACUGGGAUAACUCCGGGAAACCGGGGCUAAUACCGGCUAACAUUUUGAACCGCAUGGUUAGAAAUUGAAAGGCGGCUUCGGCUGUCAAUUAUGGAUGGACCCGGGUCGCAUUAGCUAGUUGGUGAGGUAACGGAUCACCAAGGCAACGAUGCGUAGCCGACCUGAGAGGGUGAUCGGCCACACUGGGACUGAGACACGGCCCAGACUCCUACGGGAGGCAGCAGUAGGGAAUCUUCCGCAAUGGACGAAAGUCUGACGGAGCAACGCCGCGUGAGUGAUGAAGGCUUUCGGGUCGUAAAACUCUGUUGUUAGGGAAGAACAAGUGCUAGUUGAAUAAGCUGGCACCUUGACGGUACCUAACCAGAAAGCCACGGCUAACUACGUGCCAGCCGCCGCUGUAA